This 253-nucleotide ribosomal RNA is filed under the name uncultured bacterium. RNAcentral's name for it is "partial 16S ribosomal RNA". It matches the Rfam family "Bacterial small subunit ribosomal RNA", at positions 524 to 776 of the family's 1533-position model. The record is from RNAcentral.
UACAGAGGUCCCAAGCGUUGUUCGGAUUCAUUGGGCGUAAAGGGUGCGUAGGCGGCGCGGUAAGUCGGGUGUGAAAUCUCGGGGCUUAACUCCGAAACUGCAUUCGAUACUGCCGUGCUUGAGGACUGGAGAGGAGACUGGAAUUUACGGUGUAGCGGUGAAAUGCGUAGAUAUCGUAAGGAAGACCAGUGGCGAAGGCGGGUCUCUGGGCAGUUCCUGACGCUGAGGCGCGAAGGCCAGGGGAGCAAACGGG